Jaculus jaculus (lesser Egyptian jerboa) is the source of this 1750-nucleotide long non-coding RNA. RefSeq lists it as uncharacterized. The transcript is spliced from 3 exons. The record is from RefSeq and is a predicted model, not a curated record. Lineage: Eukaryota; Metazoa; Chordata; Mammalia; Rodentia; Dipodidae.
CUGAGAAGAGGUCCCUGCCUCAAAGGGUGCUUCAGUGUCUGUCCUCUCCAAAGUCUGUCCAAGUAGGGCCGCGGGCAGUGGGACAAAGGGGUUACCUGUCUUUGCCGAGAGAUGAUGGCGAAAGAGGUUCGCCAGCGUGGAGGUUCUAGGUUAUUUCACUUCAAAUGGAUUCACAUGCUAUUCCCUGGGAUCCGUUAGAAGAUAAGAGGAACAAGAGCUCCAGAGAGGCACUUGUUGCAAAAGAAGGACCACCUGUGCAGUGCAGAGCUUUCUGACCCUCUGAGGUGGGAUGCCACUGAAACACUGGAGCAUAGUGAGUGGGGAUGAAGGGCUCUGAGGAGCUGAAUCAAAAAGACAGGUGAACUUUGAACUGAUUUCUAACUUCCUGAGUAUCAACACCUGGUAAUGACAAGGACAAUGGAGAAAUUCUUGAGAAAUUUGGAAUUCUCUGUAAAUGGAACUAAGGACUUACAUAGGUGACAGUUGAGUUGAUUCUUGAAGGACACAUAGAGUUUUCCCUGGCAUAGUGACUUGCAUUUCCAAAGGCAAAGAGACUUACAUACUCUGGAAGCAAUCAGAAAGAGGGUGAGAAGUAGCAGAAGAUCCUGAACAAACGGGUCAGAACUAGAUUGUAGAGAGUGUCACAUGUCAUGGUAAGUAGUGAGCAUUCGAUAAGGCUAUUACAAAUUUUAAAAAAAAGAUAUUAAGUGAUCCUUUAAUAUUUACUCCAGUCACAAAAAAGAAGAGGCAACCAUUUAUUUUCUAUGCAGUGAGCAGAUUUAUGUAGAGAUAAUACUCCUAAGAGGAAGGAGAGAAUCUGUUUAUAGUCAAUGGUAGGAGCAAUUAUUACCACAGAAUAUAUACCUCGCUCAUAACAGACAAGAAACAGAGGCUGUGUUAAAUAGCAGAAUAGAAGGAUGGAUAGAAAUAUUCUUGUCUUGGACAUAAUUCAUUUCCAAAGCUUUAAAAUUACUAGUGGGUACUUAAAUAACAUGAUGAGCAAGGAAGCUGUGUUAUGAAGCUAAGCAAGUCACAUAUCAGGAGUGUGGAAAUCAGUCUCAUAUCAAUUCAGUGCCUCCUUGACAUUUUCAUCAUGGGCUUCCAGCUGCGGGACUUGGCAAUGCUGCCUCUCCUGCACAUCAUGAACCGUGUUCUCAUUGCAAUGAACAAACCAUGCUAAUUCACUGCAUCUGAAUUCCACCUUUAGUUUCAGACUUGCUCCUCUGCUAAAAAGAUUUAUAAUAAUCAUUUUCACAUACUAAUGCUUCUGGAUUAUAAAAAUCUACAUAAAAAUAAUCCAGAAAACAUUUUAACUUGAUUAUGAUUCAAUUAUUAUUUAAUCAAAUUAAUCUGUGGCCUAACAGUUAUCCUUGCUGCUUGCUAGCAGUUCCUAAAUGCAUGCUCAACUGUCAUCUACUUGCAAUGUAUAUGCCAACUAUGGUAGAACUUGACAUCUGACACUUUCAUUUGACAUUAUGCCAUAUCUGGUCCAUGUUGUUCAUGUCAUUGUUUUCUUAUUUUUUUUCUUGUACUCAUUUCUUCCUCCUCCCCCAAAUACUAACUAAAUAUAUUUUCUCAUUGUCUCAUAAAAAGAAAUCACCAUCCAUACAGUUCUCUGAUAUUUGCCGUUAUUUUUAAAUAAUUCUGUGGUAAUCUGGCAGCUCAGUAGAUUUAAUUCAUUCCAGAUAGUCCAGACAAGUUUGAUUUUAUCACUGCUAAGUCAAGCUUGUUUAUUAAUGGACAUUCAUCG